GAAAAUUGCUGAAUUAGAGUCACAUACGGAUAAAGUUGUUGCUGUUCAGUUCUGUAACAAUGGAGACAGGUAAUUAUGUAAUACAUAUUUGUGUAAACAGAUGUUUCAUAUAUUUUACUACCAUUCCCUCAGAUGCAGCUACUUCUAUGAUAGAUACCUUAUUUCUGUCCAGUUAUUCAGGUUCAAAGCCCUUGUUUGUCUUUGAUGACAUCCUUAGCCAUCACUUCCACAAUCUCAUCCAAGUAGUAACCAUAGCCUAUCAGGUCUUCCUUUCUGAGUGCUUUCUUCUUUGUUUAUUUUGCUCUAUUUCUGUUAGCACCCACGUUAGUCGAGUGUUCCAUUAUUUGACCUGUCCAUCUCUGCCAGU
RNAcentral lists this small RNA (367 nucleotides) under Pongo abelii (Sumatran orangutan). Its description in RNAcentral is "processed transcript". Lineage: Eukaryota; Metazoa; Chordata; Mammalia; Primates; Hominidae. The record is from RNAcentral.